Small nucleolar RNA from Rhopalosiphum maidis (corn leaf aphid), 66 nucleotides. The record is from RefSeq and is a predicted model, not a curated record. Lineage: Eukaryota; Metazoa; Arthropoda; Insecta; Hemiptera; Aphididae.
AUUUUAUAUGAUGACAUUAUACCGCCCCAGACUGAAUCUUAUGUUGAAGGUUUGAUCUGAGUAAUU